UCGGGAAUUUUGCUCAAUGGGCGAAAGCCUGAAGCAGCAACGCCGCGUGAGGGAUGAAGGCCUUCGGGUUGUAAACCUCUUUUCUCAGGGACAAUGAUGACGGUACCUGAGGAAUAAGCCACGGCUAACUACGUGCCAGCAGCCGCGGUAAUACGUAGGUGGCAAGCGUUGUCCGGAUUUACUGGGCGUAAAGAGCGCGCAGGCGGCCGAGUAAGUCGAAUGUGAAAGCCCCCGGCUCAACUGGGGAAGGUCAUUCGAUACUGUUCGGCUCGAAGGUAGGAGAGGGAAGCGGAAUUUCCGGUGUAGUGGUGAAAUGCGUAGAUAUCGGAAGGAACACCAGUGGCGAAAGCGGCUUUCUGGCCUACUCUUGACGCUGAGGCGCGAAAGCUAGGGGAGCGA
RNAcentral lists this ribosomal RNA (399 nucleotides) under uncultured bacterium. RNAcentral's name for it is "bacterial SSU rRNA". It matches the Rfam family "Bacterial small subunit ribosomal RNA", at positions 355 to 771 of the family's 1533-position model. The record is from RNAcentral.